This 480-nucleotide ribosomal RNA is filed under the name Triticum aestivum (bread wheat). Its description in RNAcentral is "partial small subunit ribosomal RNA". The record is from RNAcentral. Lineage: Eukaryota; Viridiplantae; Streptophyta; Magnoliopsida; Poales; Poaceae.
AUGAACCUGAAAAAUUCUACAGGCUGGGAAGAAUCAUCACAUAGCCAUGGCAAUGGAAGAGUGUCUCUUUGGAACCUCAUAUGGAAAGCACACAUCCCCCACAAGAUCAGAAUUUUUGCUUGGAGAACUGCUACUGAUUCCUUACCAACAAAAGAAAACAAAUUGAAGCAGACUUUGGAACACCAUAGUAUUUGCAAUAUUUGUGGUAGGGAGCCUGAGGAUGCAUACCAUGCUACUGUUCGCUGUACUAAAGCUAGAGCUAUCAGAGAAGCUAUGAGGAAAGUUUGGCCUUUGCCAAAAGAAGAAUGCUUCGAUCGUUCAGGACCCGAUUGGUUGCUGAUGUUACUUAGCCAAUGUGAUAACACCUCCAAAGAGAGAAUCUUGUUGUUGUUAUGGAGAGCCUGGUACUUACGUGAUGAUAUAAUGCAUCAUAAAGGUACUGCUUCCGUUGCCGAAUCUGUCAUCUUCUUGUCUAAUUAU